This 530-nucleotide ribosomal RNA is filed under the name uncultured bacterium. RNAcentral's name for it is "bacterial SSU rRNA". It matches the Rfam family "Bacterial small subunit ribosomal RNA", at positions 777 to 1304 of the family's 1533-position model. The record is from RNAcentral.
AAUAGAUACCCUGGUAGUCCACGCCGUAAACGAUGAGUGCUAAGUGUUAGAGGGUUUCCGCCCUUUAGUGCUGCAGCUAACGCAUUAAGCACUCCGCCUGGGGAGUACGGCCGCAAGGCUGAAACUCAAAGGAAUUGACGGGGGCCCGCACAAGCGGUGGAGCAUGUGGUUUAAUUCGAAGCAACGCGAAGAACCUUACCAGGUCUUGACAUCCUCUGCCAACCCUAGAGAUAGGGCGUUCCCCUUCGGGGGACAGAGUGACAGGUGGUGCAUGGUUGUCGUCAGCUCGUGUCGUGAGAUGUUGGGUUAAGUCCCGCAACGAGCGCAACCCUUGAUCUUAGUUGCCAGCAUUCAGUUGGGCACUCUAAGGUGACUGCCGGUGACAAACCGGAGGAAGGUGGGGAUGACGUCAAAUCAUCAUGCCCCUUAUGACCUGGGCUACACACGUGCUACAAUGGAUGGUACAAAGAGCUGCGAACCCGCGAGGGUAAGCGAAUCUCAAUAAAGCCAUUCUCAGUUCGGAUUGUAGG